UUGAACGCUGGCGGCAGGCUUAACACAUGCAAGUCGAGCGGGGAAAGGUAGCUUGCUACCUGACCUAGCGGCGGACGGGUGAGUAAUGCUUAGGAAUCUGCCUAUUAGUGGGGGACAACAUCUCGAAAGGGAUGCUAAUACCGCAUACGUCCUACGGGAGAAAGCAGGGGACCUUCGGGCCUUGCGCUAAUAGAUGAGCCUAAGUCGGAUUAGCUAGUUGGUGGGGUAAAGGCCUACCAAGGCGACGAUCUGUAGCGGGUCUGAGAGGAUGAUCCGCCACACUGGGACUGAGACACGGCCCAGACUCCUACGGGAGGCAGCAGUGGGGAAUAUUGGACAAUGGGGGGAACCCUGAGCCAGCCAUGCCGCGUGUGUGAAGAAGGCCUUUUGGUUGUAAAGCACUUUAAGCGAGGAGGAGGCUACCGAGAUUAAUACUCUUGGAUAGUGGACGUUACUCGCAGAAUAAGCACCGGCUAACUCUGUG
This 484-nucleotide ribosomal RNA is filed under the name uncultured bacterium. RNAcentral describes it as "partial 16S ribosomal RNA". It matches the Rfam family "Bacterial small subunit ribosomal RNA", at positions 30 to 507 of the family's 1533-position model. The record is from RNAcentral.